GCGGCUAUGGUGUAGCAGCAACACAACUCUCUGUGGCAGAGUCAUCACGAGUGCAAUUCUCGUUAGCCGCCCA
Molecule: transfer RNA, 73 nt
Filed under: Candidatus Staskawiczbacteria bacterium RIFOXYA2_FULL_32_7
Lineage: Bacteria; Candidatus Staskawicziibacteriota
Also listed under: 2 other names
Description: tRNA-His
Rfam family: tRNA
About the family: Transfer RNA (tRNA) molecules are approximately 80 nucleotides in length.
Source: RNAcentral